GUCUUUUAGAUUUUAAUUUAAGGUUUGGCCUGCUCUAUGAUAUUUAUUAAAUGGCUGCAAUAAUUUAAUUGUACAAAGGUAGCAUAAUCACUUGUUUUUUAAUUGGGAACUAGUAUGAAUGGUUUGAUGAGAAAUUUUUUUUAUUGAAUUAAUUAUUUUGAAUUUUAUUUUAAGUAAAAAUUCUUAAAUUUUUUUAUGGGACGAGAAGACCCUUUAGAAUUUUAUUUAAAUUUAUUUAUUUAUAUUUGUUUAAUGAUUAAGUAUUUAAUUUUUUGAAUUUGGUUGGGGUGAUUGGGAAAUUUUUAUAACUUUCUUUUUUUUUUUCAUUAAUUUUUGUUUUUUUGAUCCAUUAUUUUGAUUGUAAGAUUAAAUUACCUAAGGGAUAACAGCGUUAUUUAAUUGGAGAGUUCUUAUUGAUAAUUAAGUUUGCGA
Molecule: ribosomal RNA, 432 nt
Filed under: Austrovelia caledonica
Lineage: Eukaryota; Metazoa; Arthropoda; Insecta; Hemiptera; Mesoveliidae
Description: partial 16S ribosomal RNA
Source: RNAcentral